UACAAAUUAAUUUCCAUCAUCGGUUAUAAAGUAUAAAAUCAAUAAAUAAAUCUAACAAACAAUAUAGAAAAUGAUGACGUCGGUUCUGGAAUGCAAACGGAUACGUACGAUUAUCACGAAUGUCUCACCAAUCUAGCCGUUGGAUGAUAUGCGGUACGCAUGCCUGCCGAUGCACAGUUCUCACUCUCUCUCUAUAUAACUUCUACUCGAUCACGAUUAAUCGAAAACUUCUUCUCUCUCUAACUUCUGCUUCCCUUCCCUUUGUUCUAGAGAGAGAAAGUGCAGAGGCGGCGAUGGUUUAAAACUUGCUCCGUUAUCAGAGAGAGAAAGUGCAGUGGUUGACAAUCAAUCUCGAAAACUCGCGUCCUUCUGGUUCUUAGAGAGAAAAGGAAGAGAUGAAAUGGCUGCCGAUCAAUCGAAAUUGCGUCUGGCUCUCGUUAGGUUAUUGAGUUGCUGAUUUCGAUCACAACGUAUUCUAGAGAGAGAAAGUGAAGAGAAGAAUUGGAACAUGGUGGUGAUCUCAAUGAGGCUGUGUCAAUGCAGAUUUCACCGAAAGAGAUAGAAACAUAUUCAUUAAAUUUCAUAUGGCACAUAAUUAGAAACACUAAUUAUAAGUCUUUUUUUCACCUUUUUACUUUUUGAAACAUUUCUCUAUACUACUGUUCUAGAUGUCAUGAAACAUGUAUUGCUUCUCCACAAGUUGACCCGAACUUCACCAGAAGUGUAUUUGAUAGCGGACCAGGGCUCAGAACUGGUGAACCGUUCAUCUCCCAUCCAAGAGAAGCUAGACAGAUUCCCAUUGAGGUCAAGGAUGGGCCCGACUACAAAAUCAGCACGUUCUGGACAUGCUCCUAGAAUCGAGGGUGUCACUGAGACUGCAAUAGAACAUGUCCCAGAGACCAAGUGCUCCACAAGUUGGUGAUUUACCGGAUUAUGGUAGUGAAGAAGAAAUGAUUCGGGCUGCAAUUGGAGCUUCCAAACAAGAUUCCCAGAAUUGGCACAAGCAGUCUCUCUAUCUUUAAAGACUGCUGAGCAAGAGAAAUUAAGCUUUACGCCAACAAUGAUCUGAAGUGGGACCAUCAGAACCAAGGGGGUCUAAGAUGGUUGAGGUGGAAGAAAUGGAGACAUUGACAUCUCAGCACUAAUCGGGCAGCUUGGGCCUGGCACAUAUAUCUUUCAGGUUGAGCUACUUUACAAUGCUUUGGAAAAGAUGUUUUGGGCCUGGAUGGAUUUCAACAAUCUCAACAAACUUUUCAAGCCCAGUUUGUUUUUGAAUAUUAAUUCCUUUUCAAUUUACUAACCGACUUUCAUUCUAGAAUUUCAUGAAUUUUACACGAGACCAGAAGGCUGCAGCUCACAGCCCAGCACUAGGUGGUUAUGUUCUUGAAUCAUACUUCAUUUUAAAUUUGCUAAGGACUUUUCUAUUAAAAUUUCAUUUUUUCCUACACGAGACCCAACACUACAGCUGAUCACAGCACUAGGUGGUUACAAGUUUUUCUACACUAGACCCAAAGGCUGCAACUAGCAGCACCCGCACUAGGCAGGUUUUUCUAUACAAGACUUGAAGACUGCACCUCACAACUCAGCACUAGUCUGGAGACUCAAAGACGACUGGUCACAGGCUAACACUCUUGAGCCGAAGCAGGAGCAGAUCGAGUUCUUGCUUGUGAUCUUCAUUCUGGGAAAUCGAUGGGCUAUUUUGACAUUUCAGUUGAUCAUGUUCAUGGUCAGGUAAUGGGUAUUAUCUAUUUGAAGCAACGAAACCACAUCUUGUUAUAUUUGUAAUGGAUAGCAGUAUUGAUCAAGCCGCAUUUGACAAAGCUAAAGCAUUUAAGCGGAGUGUUGUUGUUGGAGCUUUUAUUGGUACAAAAAUGGAUGGUCAUGAAAAGGGUGGUGGAAAUUGCCAGACCCUGUAGUUACAAAUCUAUGCUAGUAUAUAAUGUCCAUUAAGACACGAAUCCAGUUUGACCAGUUAUCCAACCCGAAGUUAAAUAUUUUUCUUUUCUCAUUUUUACUGUGUAGCAAUUGGAGGACAGUUGGCCGAAGUCCAAGCUUGAAAGCAGAGUUUUUUCUACACGAGACCCCCCUGCGACUCGCAGCCCAACACUAGUGAGUUUACAAACCGAUUUCCGCUUAAAAAUGCCAACUUUUUUUACAAGAGACCCUAAGACGGCAGCUCACGGCCCAACACUAGUUUGUUUUGUUUUUCUACACGAGACCUCAAAACUACGCUCACAGCGGCUACAUGCCAAUUGCCAGAAGUCAUGAAACGCCUGUUGCUGCUCCACAAGUUGACCCGAACUUCACCAGAAGUAUAUUUGAUAGCGGACCAGGGCUCAGAAUUUGUGAACCAUUUAUCUCCCAUCCCGGAGAAGUUAGACAGAUUCCCAUUGAGGUCAAGGAUGGGCCCGGCCCCACUACAUAAUCAGAACGUUCCUGACAUGCUCCUAGAAUCGAGGAUGUCACAGAGACUGCAACAGAAAAUGUCCCAGAGACCAAGUGCUCCACAAGCAGUCUCUCUAGUCUCUAUCUUUAAAGACUGCCGAGCAAGAGAAAGCUUUACGCCAACAAGGAUCUGAAGUGGAACCCAUCAGAACGGAAGACUGCAACUCGCAGCCCAAUACAAGACCCAAAGACUGCAGCUCACAUCUCAGCACUAGUUGGAAGUUGGGAGCUCAUCAAUUCCAGAUGAAGUUGAAGAAGCAGAAGAACAACCUCUGGUUUGAAACAGUAGUCGACUUAUGUCCUCUCAAUCUAUUGAUUUUGCUGAAGACAUUGAAGAAGUACACCUAAACUUACUCUCCAGUUUCUGCAAAGAAAAAAAUAAAUAAAUAAAUAUCAGGGAAGAUUUAGUUAUUAAAUGAUUGAGAUGUGAGCUGCAGUCUUCGGGUCAUGUGUAAAAAAUCCGAAACUAUAAAACGGAAGCGGUUGGUAAACUGAAAAGAAUAUAAGAUUUACUAAGGACAUCUCUAUUAAAUUUUUACACGAAAAGAAUAUAAUUUUACACGAGACCAGAAGGCUGCAGCUCACAGCCCAGCACUAGGUGGUUAUGUUCUUGAGUCUUACUACUUUUUAAAUUUACUACGGACUUCUCUAUUAAAAUUUUCAUUUUACCUACACGGGGCCCAACACUACAGCUGAUCACAGCCCAGAUGUAGUCAGGUAUGUUUUACUUUUUUUUUUUCAGUGUUACUAACCUACUUUGAUUUUGACGUACAAGUUAUUUUUACAUCAUUUCUGUUUAAAAGUUUCAUUUUUUCUUAAACGAGACUUAACCCUAGAGCUUAUCACAGCCAAGAAGUAGUUGGUAUGUUCUACUUUUGUUUUCAAGUACAAAUUUUCUACACGAGAUCCCAUGACUGCAACUCGCAGCCCCGCACUAGGCAGCUAUGUUUUCGAAGAUGAAAUCUUUUUUUUACAUGAGAUCCUGAAAUUACAGUUCACUGCUGCAAUGUGUUGGGAUCUAAGCACAUGUCAGGUAUAGUCUUGAAUAAUACUUUAUAUUUAGUUUACCAACCGAUUUUCGUUUUAGCAUCAGUGUAACACAUGUCAGGUAUGUUCAAGGAUCUUUUAUUGUCUUUUCCGUUUGCCAACCGACUAUCGUUUGAAAAUUUCUGUUUUUCUACACGUGACCCGAAUAAUGCAGUUCACAGCCCGACAUCAGACAUGCAUGUUCUCAAAUUUGCUUCUUUUUUACACGAGACCCCAAAACUGCAGUUCACAGCCGUGCUAGUCAGGUACUAAUCGAUUCCAUUUAAAAGUUAACACCUAGCACAAGUCAGGUAUGUUCUGCAUUGUGCUUUGUUUUCCGUUUUACCAAUUGACUUUUGUUUUAACUUAUGUUUUUUACACCAGACCCCAAAACUUCAUUUUUAUAGUUUACUAACUGAUUUUCGUUUUAAAUUUUUUGUUUUUCUACAUGAGACCUCAAAUCUACGCUCACAGCGCCUACAUGCCAGGUAUGUUAAUAGAUCUUAUUUUUUCUCUCGUUUACCAACCAACUUACUUUACAAACUUCAGUUUUUUUUUACAAGACCAGAAAAUUGACGCACACAUCAUAGCAUUAGUCAGGUAUGUUCAUGAAUAUUACUUGAUUAUUAGUUUACUAACCAAAUUCUGUUAUAAAAUAUAUGUUUAUCUACACGAGACUCAAAUAAUGCUAUGAUGUGUGUGUUACAGCCCGACACCAGUCAGGUAUGUUCACAAAAAUUAUUUUCUCUUUUUCUAGUUUACUAACCAACUUCCAUCUAAACAUUCACAGCCUAGCACGAGUCAGGUGUGUUACAGCCUAACUCAAUGUUUUAAGACUUCUUAAAGUUCUUUCAUCAUAUGGAAGCCGGGUUUUUAGGAGUUUGUACUCGUUGAUUUGUAUAUACAAACCGUUUUUAUGAAAUUAUCAAAUUACUGAACCAUUGAAAUUCUGUUUUUAUGACCCACUAUAGAACCGUAAUCCUUAAGUUAAAUCUUGGUAUUGAAUACGGUUGUUAUUGAUUGAUUGAUAGAAUAUGAAUACAAGGCCCUAUAUAUAGAGAUACUAAUUACAAUUUGAUACCCUCAAUAAUAAUACACUUGUCUAUCUAAAAUAACUUAGUCUAAACACCUUAGCAUGUCAUAAAUGAAACGCAUUACAACCGUCUGCAGCUCACAACCCAGAAUUGGUCAGGCAUUUUCUGGAAUCGUUAUUCCUUUUCAGUUUUACUAAAUGUCGCCUGUUUUAAAAUUUCACGUCUUUCUACACGAGACUCUUAAGCCUGCAGCCCACAGCCUAGCACUAGUCAUGUAUGCUCAUGAUUUUUACUAACCGAUUUUCAUUUCAAAAUUUCAUAUUGGAAAUGUUGUGUUUCUUUUGGGUGUCUAUUGCAGCUAAACUUGUUGCUAAUCUGAUAACCGAAGCAGGAGCAGAUCGAGUUCUUGCAUGUGAUCUUCAUUCUGGGAAAUCGAUGGGCCCUUUUGACAUUCCAGUUGAUCAUGUUCAUGGUCAGCCCGUCAUACUUGAUUACCUUGCUAGCAAGAGAAAGUAAAAUUUAUUUCUACCUCAGUAAGUUUUUAUUAUGUUAGUUAUCAUGCUUUAUUAAUGUAAAUAUUUGAAUACCAUUAUUUUGUGGAUUCUUGUAAUGAAUUGAUGAGACAGACACCUGCAGAUGUCCUUAGUCAUAACAAGCUGUUUUUAAUUUGUUUUUCGCAAGACACUGAGCCAAAUGUAAUCUGCAAUUGUUCAUUUGGUGUUUUUUUUUUCUUUUGGUGGUUGCAAGAGUUGGCGAUUUAACUAUCAUGUCAAGCAGGCAUGAGCCUGUGAAUUUCACUCAACUGUACACAGAGUCAGGUUUGGAGAUGAUCGUAUCUGUUAGAUCCAGAAUAUCAAACCAGCAGACACUCGAUCUUUAUAACGGCUACAUGAUUUGCAUGUCUUAAAUAAAACACAUUACAACCGUCUGCAGCUCACAACCCAGAAAUAGUCGGGUAUUUUUUGGAAUCAUGCUUCCUUUCAGUUUUACUAUUCUACUUUCUUUUCUGUUUUAUUUCAGGCAUUUCUACAUCGGACUUACGGGCUGCUAUUGACAAUCCAACUGCAGGUUUGUUAAUGAUGCCUUUUAGGUUACUUCAUUUUAAGUUUACCAAGAACUUAAAAUUUCAUUUUUUUCUUCUACAUGAGACUUGAUACCUACAGCUUAUCACAGCCCAGAUGUAGUUGGUGUGUUCUACUUACUAACCAACUUUCGUUUUAAAGUACAAAUUUUUCUACACUAGACCCCAAGGCUGCAAUUCGCAGCCCCGCACUAGGCAGGUAUCUUCUUGAAUAUUACGCCUUUUUCUGUUUGCUAACUAGCUACCUGUUUAUAAUUUCAGGUUUUUCUAUAUGAGACUUGAAG
This is a long non-coding RNA of Helianthus annuus (common sunflower), 5870 nucleotides long. RefSeq lists it as uncharacterized. Lineage: Eukaryota; Viridiplantae; Streptophyta; Magnoliopsida; Asterales; Asteraceae. The record is from RefSeq and is a predicted model, not a curated record. The transcript has 18 exons.